RNAcentral lists this ribosomal RNA (433 nucleotides) under uncultured bacterium 'eubacterium sp.'. RNAcentral describes it as "bacterial SSU rRNA". It matches the Rfam family "Bacterial small subunit ribosomal RNA", at positions 29 to 507 of the family's 1533-position model. RNAcentral also lists the same sequence under 1 other name. The record is from RNAcentral.
AACGAACGCUGGCGGCAGGCUUAACACAUGCAAGUCGAGCGCCCCGGUAACGGGGAGCGGCAGACGGGUGAGUAACGCGUGGGAAUCUACCCAANCCUACGGAAUAACGCAUGGAAACGUGUGCUAAUACCGUAUACGCCCUUAGGGGGAAAGAUUUAUCGGGGAUGGAUGAGCCCGCGUUGGAUUAGCUAGUUGGUGGGGUAAAGGCCUACCAAGGCGACGAUCCAUAGCUGGUCUGAGAGGAUGAUCAGCCACAUUGGGACUGAGACACGGCCCAAACUCCUACGGGAGGCAGCAGUGGGGAAUAUUGGACAAUGGGCGCAAGCCUGAUCCAGCCAUGCCGCGUGAGUGAUGAAGGCCCUAGGGUUGUAAAGCUCUUUCACCGGUGAAGAUAAUGACGGUAACCGGAGAAGAAGCCCCGGCUAACUUCGUG